RNAcentral lists this ribosomal RNA (391 nucleotides) under uncultured organism. RNAcentral describes it as "bacterial SSU rRNA". It matches the Rfam family "Bacterial small subunit ribosomal RNA", at positions 45 to 433 of the family's 1533-position model. The record is from RNAcentral.
UGGUUUUAGGCAUCCAAGUCGAACGAUCUCGCAAGAGAUAGUGGCGGAAGGGUUAGUAACACGUGGGUAAUCUACCCCCGAGUCGGGGAUAACAUUUCGAAAGAAGUGCUAAUACCCGAUGACAUUUUUGGAUCGCAUGAUCUGAAAAUCAAAGGUGGCUCGCAAGGGCUGCCGAUCGAGGAGGAGCCCGCGGCCUAUCAGCUAGUUGGUGAGGUAACGGCCCACCAAGGCAUUUGACGGGUAGCUGGUCUAAGAGGACGAUCAGCAACAUUGGGACUGAGACACUGCCCAGACUCCUACGGGAGGCUGCAGUCGAGGAUCUUUAGCAAUGCCCGAAAGGGUGACUAUGCGACGCCGCGUGCAGGAUGAAGGCCUUCGGGUCGUAAACUGC